GGGCCUUUCCACGGGUCGCUUUCACGUAAGUCUUGUUUCUGUCUUUAUAAGCGAGGGAGCUACGGGGAACUGGGCU
RNAcentral lists this microRNA precursor (76 nucleotides) under Mus pahari (shrew mouse). RNAcentral describes it as "microRNA 5136 (MGP_PahariEiJ_G0006616.1)". The record is from RNAcentral. Lineage: Eukaryota; Metazoa; Chordata; Mammalia; Rodentia; Muridae.